ACGGGUGAGUAACACGUGGGUAACCUGCCCAUCAGAAGGGGAUAACACUUGGAAACAGGUGCUAAUACCGUAUAACACUAUUUUCCGCAUGGAAGAAAGUUGAAAGGCGCUUUUGCGUCACUGAUGGAUGGACCCGCGGUGCAUUAGCUAGUUGGUGAGGUAACGGCUCACCAAGGCAACGAUGCAUAGCCGACCUGAGAGGGUGAUCGGCCACACUGGGACUGAGACACGGCCCAGACUCCUACGGGAGGCAGCAGUAGGGAAUCUUCGGCAAUGGACGAAAGUCUGACCGAGCAACGCCGCGUGAGUGAAGAAGGUUUUCGGAUCGUAAAACUCUGUUGUUAGAGAAGAACAAGGAUGAGAGUAAAAUGUUCAUCCCUUGACG
RNAcentral lists this ribosomal RNA (385 nucleotides) under Enterococcus sp. LIPOA/UEL_44. RNAcentral describes it as "bacterial SSU rRNA". It matches the Rfam family "Bacterial small subunit ribosomal RNA", at positions 102 to 474 of the family's 1533-position model. Lineage: Bacteria; Bacillati; Bacillota; Bacilli; Lactobacillales; Enterococcaceae. The record is from RNAcentral.